CCUACGGGAGGCUGCAGUGAGGAAUAUUGGUCAAUGGUCGGGAGACUGAACCAGCCAAGCCGCGUGAGGGAGGAAGGUACAGAGUAUGGUAAAACUCUUUUGUCAGGGAACAAAGGCGGGGACGUGUCCCCGGAUGAGUGUACCUGAAGAAAAAGCAUCGGCUAACUCCGUGCCAGCAGCCGCGGUAAUACGGAGGAUGCGAGCGUUAGCCGGAGUUAUUGGGGUUAAAGGGUGGGCAGGCGGUCUGUAAAGUCAGCGGUAAAAGCCCGGGGCCAACCCCCGGCCCGCCGUUGAAACUGGCAGUCUCGAGUUGGAGAGAAGUAUGCGGAAUGCGCGGUGUAGCGGUGAAAUGCAUAGAUAUCGCGCAGAACUCCGAUUGCGAAGGCAGCAUGCCGGCUCCACACUGACGCUGAGGCACGAAAGCGUGGGUAUCGAACAGGAUUAGAUACCCGUGUAGUC
This 459-nucleotide ribosomal RNA is filed under the name uncultured bacterium. Its description in RNAcentral is "partial 16S ribosomal RNA". It matches the Rfam family "Bacterial small subunit ribosomal RNA", at positions 338 to 795 of the family's 1533-position model. The record is from RNAcentral.